RNAcentral lists this long non-coding RNA (334 nucleotides) under Phaseolus vulgaris (common bean). RNAcentral's name for it is "long non-coding RNA (PVUL_LNC001524)". Lineage: Eukaryota; Viridiplantae; Streptophyta; Magnoliopsida; Fabales; Fabaceae. The record is from RNAcentral.
GAGGCCACACCCUAGCCUCGGAGGAAAGUAAAAGCAAGAAAAGGCUACAACCCGGCCAAGGGCAAACCUAGUCUUGGAUCUCUAUGCACUCCCCCUCCUCGGCCUCGGCCUCCCCCUGUAGGGUCUCGGCCGUUUGAGCCUCUUGUGCCGCUAGAGCCCCCACCUCAGCGCUUGGAACCAACCGACCCUGGUGAACUUCGCAAUCUAUAUCGAAAUCACCAAAAGCCGGCGACCCUCCAUAAAGAACGUGAGCCUGGCGCACGGCUCCUGGGUCUUGGCCGUUUCAGCCUAAGAAGAAGAAGAAGAAGAAGAAGGAAGAAGAAGAAGAAGGAAG